AUUGAACGCUGGCGGCAGGCCUAACACAUGCAAGUCGAGCGGAUGAAGGGAGCUUGCUCCUGGAUUCAGCGGCGGACGGGUGAGUAAUGCCUAGGAAUCUGCCUGGUAGUGGGGGAUAACGUCCGGAAACGGGCGCUAAUACCGCAUACGUCCUGAGGGAGAAAGUGGGGGAUCUUCGGACCUCACGCUAUCAGAUGAGCCUAGGUCGGAUUAGCUAGUUGGUGGGGUAAAGGCCUACCAAGGCGACGAUCCGUAACUGGUCUGAGAGGAUGAUCAGUCACACUGGAACUGAGACACGGUCCAGACACCUACGGUAGGCAGCAGUGGGGAAUAUUGGACGAUGGGCGAAUGCCUGAUCCAGCCAUGCCGCGUGUGUGAAGAAGGUCUUCGGAUUGUAAAGCACUUUAAGUUGGGAGGAAGGGCAGUAAGUUAAUACCUUGCUGUUUUGACGUUACCAUCAGAAUAAGCACCGGCUAACUUCGUG
This 484-nucleotide ribosomal RNA is filed under the name uncultured bacterium. RNAcentral's name for it is "partial 16S ribosomal RNA". It matches the Rfam family "Bacterial small subunit ribosomal RNA", at positions 30 to 507 of the family's 1533-position model. The record is from RNAcentral.